ACGGGGGGGGCAAGCGUUGUCCGGAAUUACUGGGCGUAAAGGGCUCGUAGGUGGCCAACUAAGUCAGACGUGAAAUCCCUCGGCUUAACCGGGGAACUGCGUCUGAUACUGGAUGGCUUGAGUUCGGGAGAGGGAUGCGGAAUUCCAGGUGGAGCGGUGAAAUGCGUUGAUAUCAGAAGGAACGCCGGUGGCGAAAGCGACGUGCUGGACCUCUUCUGACGCUGAGGCGCGAAAGCUAGGGGAGCAAACGGGA
This 253-nucleotide ribosomal RNA is filed under the name uncultured prokaryote. Its description in RNAcentral is "partial 16S ribosomal RNA". It matches the Rfam family "Bacterial small subunit ribosomal RNA", at positions 525 to 777 of the family's 1533-position model. The record is from RNAcentral.